AUAUUUUCUUUCUCAAUUUUUUCAUACUAUAGCAUAGGAAACUCUCUGAAUGCAAAACAGAAUUGUAACUGCAGAGAUAAUACGACUAAUUUUUUUUAAACAAACCCAGUAAUGAAAUGAAGGCUGUUCUUCAAAGUUAUUAUGGCGGGAGGCUGCACACCCAUUCCGGCGAUUCUGCCAUUGCUCAGGGCAUCCCUUUAGGAAUAAUCGCAUUUUGUAGGGAAAACAACUUGUCAUUUUAUAGUUGAAGUUUUGAUUAAAAAUGGUAUUUUUCCAGCCUUACUGGCCUUUACACAUAUAGGAUGUGGCUUUUAAAAGACCUUUACCUCUUUCAAGCAAAUAAAAUCUAUUUUUAUCUGCUGCCACUAAAAAUAUUAAAGGAACACAGAGCAUAUUCAGACAGUCCUGAACAGGGACAGCAUCACUGUGCUAAGGACACAGCUCUCUAAGGCCAACACAGCACUCAUCUGACCUUGUUUUAGUAUUUGUCUCCCAUUUCUAAAAUGUUCACCUCGCUGAACAAGGUUAGCAAAGAAGAGUCUUCAAACUCGGACUAGCUUUAUUAGAUACCGUCUGCCACAGAUGAGCUGCAGUCUACACACGCGGGAGGUGGUGCUCUUUCCUGUUAGCAUGCCUUGCUGCAGAGGCACUCGUCACAAGAAAAUGCCAGCUCCACAACACCGAUGGCUACACUGUUGCUAGAACCGAUACGAAUACUGAUGUAGGUCUCCAGCCAUUAUCCUCUUGGUCAUGAAAUAUAUGACAGAGAUAUAUGGGAGCACGACUAAAACAGGAAACUCUGGGAAAAGCAGGUCCUAAAAUCAAGCCCAGGAAGGAAGGACUGGCCGCAGGAGUCUGUCCAAUCACCAGGAAGAGAUCCCAGCCAUCUGAGCCUGGACGCUGGGUCACCCAGCGCUUCAUGAAGACAACUACCUGCCUAGACCUGCUGCCUUGUUCUUGAGAGAUUUAGCCUCUGGGCAGUCCUAACAGUUAUGAUGUGAUGUAAGGAAGAGCUCAGUGCUCACCCAUGAGCUAAGGCAGGACCUUGACUAUUAAGGCUUAACGCACAUAGAGACAGAGAAGGACCAGGAAUUCUGAGGGGCAGCGGAAAAGAGACAAGGUGAAAGCUGCUGGCCAUCCGGGCUGGAAAAGUUCCCUGCAUAAGGGAACCAGGCUGCAGGGUGGGGGGACAAGCUCCUUCAGUGGCAGGACAUGUGACCACAAACAAAGAAUGUCUUUGAGUGAAAAACCCAAAGUUGCCUCUCUUCCUGCGUGUCACUGGGAUUUUGGCAACCACUGUAUCCGAGUGACCCUGUGAGUGGACAAGCACCUGCAUUACCACUGCAGCUCCCUAAACUAUCUCCCUGCUUACCUUCUUCCCCCUCUAACCCAUUACCCGCUCUGCAGGCAGAAACACCCUUUUAAAAAUGUAAAUCUGAUCACCAGAGCUAAGAUUUUGUUUUUACUCAGACAGACACGACAUAAAGCAACUUGUUUACUCCUUAAACAAACUUAUGAAGUAGAAAGAACUAUUAUCCCUGUUUUAUAGAUGAAAAUUGGAGGCACAGAGAAGUUAUCCACUUCGGUGGGCGCUCACCAGCGGACGCCUCGCCCACAGCCGCACCCGGCGGCCCAGCGCUGUGCGCCGCGCAUGCGCCACCAGGCCGUCUGCUCUCUGUGCUGCGGAAGCGGGAAAGCACUGAAGCUUGUUUUACUUUACAGGCAGCUUUACUUGUCAUGUAAAUCAGAACAGCUGGAAGCUCCCUGCAGCCCUCACGGGAAGCAGAUGCUGGCGUGACGCUUCCUGUACCGCCUGCAGAACUGCGAGUUGAAUGACCUCCUUGCUCUAUCAGUUACCCAGCCGCGGGCAUCCCUUUGCCGAAGCAAAAUGGACGAGCACAUCCAGGAUGAGCGUCCACCUCUUUGGUGCCUUCAGAUGAAUUCCCAUUCCCACCGUGGCUCUCAGCUCGACUCCCGUCACUGGGCAGUCAGGACCUUCUCCCGGUGAGACGAUCCCACGCAGACCCCGCUCCCAUCUAGAGCUCUGCAGCCCAGCCAGGGCACUGCUGGCCGCAUGCGGCUGUCAAGCAUUUGAAACGUGGCUGGCCCAAAUGCAAUGAGUUGUGAGUGUAAGAUACACUGGACUUUGAAAACUUAGGAUAAAAACAAGAAUGUAAAAUGCCUCAUUAAUAAUUUUUAAACUGAUUACACGUUGCAAUGAUAAUGUUUGGGAUAUACUGGCUUAAAAAUAAUUAAAAUAAAUUUUACUUGUUCUUUUUGCUUUCUUUUUUUUUC
Molecule: non-coding RNA, 2295 nt
Organism: Microcebus murinus (gray mouse lemur)
Lineage: Eukaryota; Metazoa; Chordata; Mammalia; Primates; Cheirogaleidae
Source: RefSeq, a predicted model, not a curated record